This 761-nucleotide ribosomal RNA is filed under the name uncultured phototrophic eukaryote. Its description in RNAcentral is "bacterial SSU rRNA". It matches the Rfam family "Bacterial small subunit ribosomal RNA", at positions 561 to 1342 of the family's 1533-position model. The record is from RNAcentral.
UAAAGCGUCUGUAGGUGGUUUUUUAAGUCUACUGUUAAACCUUGAGGCUUAACCUCAAAUCAGCAGUAGAAACUAAAAGGCUAGAGUUUAGGAGGGGUAGAGGGAAUUCCAGUGGAGCGGUGAAAUGCGUAGAGAUUGGAAAGAACACCGAUGGCGAAGGCACUCUACUGGCCUAUAACUGACACUCAGAGACGAAAGCUAGGGGAGCAAAUGGGAUUAGAUACCCCAGUAGUCCUAGCCGUAAACGAUGGAUACUCGAUGUUGGACGUAUCGACCCGUUCAGUAUCUUAGCUAACGCGUUAAGUAUCCCGCCUGGGGAGUACGCUCGCAAGAGUGAAACUCAAACGGAAUUGACGGGGGCCCGCACAAGCGGUGGAGGAUGUGGUUUAAUUCGAUGCAACGCGAAAAACCUUACCAGGGUUUGAAAAAAGGUACGCUUUUUGAAAAGAAAGAUACUAAUCCCUUUUUACAGGUGGUGCAUGGCUGUCGUCAGCUCGUGUCGUGAGAUGUUGGGUUAAGUCCCGCAACGAGCGCAACCCUUGUUUCUUGUUCAAUCGUCUAGAAAGACUGCCGGUGAUAAACCGGAGGAAGGUGAGGACGACGUCAAGUCAUCAUGCCCCUUACACCCUGGGCUACACACGUCCUACAAUGGCUAAGACAAUAAGUCGCCAACUCGCGAGAGUGAGCUAAUCUUUUAAACUUAGUCUAAGUACAGAUUGCAGGCUGCAACUCGCCUGCAUGAAGGUGGAAUCGCUAGUAAU